GACCUCAAAUCAGGUAGGACCACCCGCUGAACUUAAGCAUAUCAAUAAGCGGAGGAAAAGAAACUAACCAGGAUUCCCUUAGUAACUGCGAGUGAAGUGGGAAGAGCUCAAAUUUGUAAUCUGGCGGCCUUUGGACGUCCGAGUUGUAAUCUAAAGAAGUGCUACCUGUGCUGGACCGUGUACAAGUCUUCUGGAAUGGAGCAUCACAGAGGGUGAGAAUCCCGUCUUUGACAUGGACUGCCAGUGCUCAAUAGGUGUGCUCUCGAAGAGUCGAGUUGUUUGGGAAUGCAGCUCAAAAUGGGUGGUAAAUGCCAUCUAAAGCUAAAUAUUGGCGAGAGACCGAUAGCGAACAAGUACCGUGAGGGAAAGAUGAAAAGAACUUUGGAAAGAGAGUUAAACAGUACGUGAAAUUGCUGAAAGGGAAACGCUUGAAGUCAGUCGCGUCUGUCAGGAAUCAACCUUGCUCUUGCUGGGUGUACUUUCUGUCGGACGGGNCAGCAUCAGUUUCGGUCGCUGGACAAAGUUCUUUGGGAAUGUGGCAUCCUCGGAUGUGUUAUAGCCCUUGGGACACAUGCAGCGGUCGGGAUUGAGGAACUCAGCACGCCCGUGAGGGCUGGGGCUUUUUGCCCACAUAAC
This 636-nucleotide ribosomal RNA is filed under the name uncultured fungus. RNAcentral's name for it is "eukaryotic LSU rRNA". It matches the Rfam family "Eukaryotic large subunit ribosomal RNA", at positions 1 to 619 of the family's 3401-position model. The record is from RNAcentral. Lineage: Eukaryota; Fungi.